AGUGAUCCAAAUUCAAUGGCGAGACAAAAGACAAGGAUGACUACAGAUGGCCUGGGAUGCAGUGGAUGACCUUGGCCUCUUUGAUGUCUGAACAAACUCCAAUCUCUCCGCAGUGCCUACUUAUGUUGCUUUCAUGGCUAUUGGAACAAAUUGUUCUUAUUUGCCAAUUCUACAAGGGGAAGUCUUCAUAUAAUUGGGGCAGAAGUCCCCUUAACUCACCAAGAGGUUUGAGAAUUCACUUGUCUGUGUUCUGAAAACCAAGAUGAAGGUCAGUCACCAGAGACAUAUAUGAGAUAUAUGAGCUCUCCUCAUCUCCAGGAAGUCCUCAGUGGUCCCUUUCCAGAGACAGAGGGAAGAAUCCAAGUUUCUAGUUCAAAGAGAAUCAAAGUCAUCAAAGUUCAGUGGCAAGAAAAAAGUCAAGACUACUGAUGAUGGCCAGGAGGCAGUGGAUGACCUUGGCAUCUUUGAUGUCUGACGAAGCUCUAAGCUUUCUCCAAUGUCUAUUUCAGCUACCUUCAUGGCCACUGGCACGCAUUGUUUUCAUUUAUCCAUUCUGCCAGGGGAAGUCUUCAUGCGCUUGUGGUAGACUUUCCACCAACUCACUGACGGAUUUGAGAGCUGCUGGCUUCCCUCAACUUCGUUUAGUCCAUCCACUGAGAUGGUUUUACUGGGGAGGAAAUGCUGAUUCUACUGCCUGCUGCAAAAUACACAUGAUGUUCUCCUUUGACUGCUUCCUGAUACCCCAGCUGCUGGCUGCAAACCUCUGCAGCCUGCUUGCCGUUUUCUAUGCAUGCUUGCCGUACCAAGUUCUCCAGAAGGUAUAUAAGUGCUCCAAAUUCUGUUGUCCUCGGAGGAGAAUCUCGCGCGGUUGUCCUCUCAGAGAUACUGGUGGCUGCCGAUUGGUGGACACUAACUCUUUCCUGAUUAAAGACAUGUCUUUUUCUGACCAUUUUAAUAGUUCUGUUUUUUUCCGCGUUGUCAGGGGUAAGUGGAGAGAGGGAAACGCCAGUUACUAAGACAAGGAAGGGUGCCUAGGCUGAGACGCUAACUUGUGUGGAAACCCAGCAUUCCUUCUGGACAACAACCAUCAGGUCCCAGCCAGGAAAGCGCUUGGAGUCCACCCUGUUUCCAAGUUUCUAAGUGCCCUGGAGGGUGUGCAAAUAGAAAUGGGAUACACCUGAACUACAUUUGCCCAGCAUCCUUUUAAGUUACGUCCUCACUUUGCAUCCUGACAUUUGGGAGAGAAAGUUUGCUGAAACCCACGCUGCGGAGCUUUCUGGGUUUUUGCUUUGGUAAAGCGCUGCAGGUGAGAGUCUGGCUCUGUGCUCUACUCACUCGGCAGAAGGAACACCGUUCUCUCUCUCUCUUUGUUGUUAUUAAAUCCUAUA
RNAcentral lists this long non-coding RNA (1388 nucleotides) under Monodelphis domestica (gray short-tailed opossum). RNAcentral describes it as "lncRNA (ENSMODG00000034974.2)". The record is from RNAcentral. Lineage: Eukaryota; Metazoa; Chordata; Mammalia; Didelphimorphia; Didelphidae.